AAGGGGCCCGGCGGCGGGGGAGGGGGCUGCUGCCCGGGACGGAUGGAGGGAGGGGGCUGUCGGCGAUUCGGUGCCGGCCCUCUGGAGGCAGCCGAUGCGUCCUGUAAGGCGUUGCUGCUCUUGGUUUGCUUUUCCAGGUUUGCUUUUCCCUGUCCUGAGCCGCAGGGAGGGGGCAGAUGGUCGCGGUCCCGAGGCCUGCGGGUAUUGGCGGUGCCGUUUGCUGGUUAAUCCUAAGGGAUUAAUACCGCCUGUUUCAUAGCAGUUCCUGCUAUGUAUUUAACACGCACACACAAAACUGACAGAAUAGUAUUAACCUGUAGGUCAUUUUUAGUUUCCACAAGAGGUUUGAGUAAUCACUUAUGGCAUCAUUUUUCUCCUGGCAAAACCCUUGCUCCUUUCAGAUAACCUUAAGAUCUACAGGCAUCCCCACAACUGGAAUUUGAGUCUAGAUGUCAUUGUGGCCAAGAGUUUUAAUAAGAGAUGUUUGCAAUCAUAAAAUGGAUUUUAACUGGUUUGUUAAUUGUCUUUUGUAGGUUUACCUGCCAGCAACUAUGGAAGCUGAAUGAAUUUAAGCACGAACACCAAUGUCUUGCAACAGUCAACCUGCAUCUCACCCAAGGAAAUUGCAGUGUCCCAGUUGCAUGCUGCUGUGCCUGAAGGUUUUGAAGCCAAGGUAGCAGGCCUGGUGGAGCUGUACAGGUGCAAGCUCUGCCCACUUACAAGUAGCAUCAAAGGUGGGGUCAGCACACACCUGGCUCAUAUGCAUGAAACAGAUAUGGUGUGUCAAAUUUCAGGCUGUCCUAAAAUGGACCAAGGUGAAAAUGAGUUGUAUAGCAUGGGAGAUGAAGUUAACCAAGAAAAUAAAGAAAACGAAGAAAAGCUUGCAAAAAAAGUCUAAUGACCCCUAUGUCAGAUGUUUCAAUCUUUAUGCCUCUCUCUCCUGUGAAGCAAACACCUUGUUUGGAGGAGCAGCAGCUCACUGGCAGCGUGUGUAGCACUGUUCUGCAGCGCUGAGUUGCUUUCAUAUCCCAAGGGCAAAGAUGAGGAAGAAGCCCAGCCUCUGCAUCUUGGCCUCUCUUGUGUUUCCAGUGUUAGAACUCGGACCUCAGCUGGGGAGGUAAAAACCCCUAAAGCUGAAUCAAGGUGUAAAAGUUACAAAAAAUCAGAAGAAAGCUGCAUGUGACACUAAAGGGUUAGCUCAUCCUGUGAAAGAUGCUUGUGCCUUAAAGCUACAGUUCUGAGGGAACGCAGCAUUUAUGCAACAUGUGCAACUUAGCACUGAGUUGAAAGAUGCUCAUUAAAUCCAUGAAAAGGGUCAUGUUGUGGUUCGUGGCUUUACAUGUGUUUAUUGUUGCAUGACUGAGUGGGACUUUAUGGAGGAUUGUUUAAAAACCAUGCAAGCAGAUAAAAGAAACCUACCAGUGCCUCACCUGUGAAAGUGUUUUUAUGUCACAGAGUGCUUGGAAAGUGCACUGUUUCUACAGCCAUCAGAGGAAACUUCAUCUCUUUCAGUGCACAAUGUAUUCAUCUCUUGAAACCAAGUGGAUAAGAAAUCUUUAUGCAGCUUGCCAUUAUCAGGAUAUGUUUAAAUGUCCACGCAGUAAUUUUACCAAUUUCUGAGGUGGAGAAGGAACAUUGAAGAAAUUGAGAGAAGUCUUCAGCCUGCUGGUAUUUUUCAGAGGUUUCAUUCCAUUAAAGGGAGUUUUACUGUAACAUUACAAACAACUGUUUUCUGCCAAUUUAUUAUGCUAGUGAGCCUGAUACAAUGGCUCAGGAAUGGAUCAAGGACUACAAACAUCUGCGCAACCAUAGUUACAGUUUCAAACUGUAUCUGUGUACUGAAUGUGAGAGAUGAGACUUUUUUUUCAAAUGUCCUGUGAUAUCUAGACCUUUUAGGGUCACUGGCUUCAGCUCCAUCAUGAUGUCUUAACAUAUACUGUGUUGGCGGUGACAUAUUGACCACCAAACCACGCUGAAGCAUGGAGGUGGUGUACACUGAAUGGAGGGUCAGAGCAGAGUUGAAAGAGCAUAUGGAAAAUGACAAAACUUUUACAGCCCUUCUGUCUUCAUUUUGGGAUCAGGUACUCAAAAACCAGACAUCAGAUGAAUGGACAUCACAAACCGAUCCAUCAGAAAAAAACCCAAAUGGAAAAUGAAUGAAAGAGAAGAAAGAAGGCUGAAGAUAAUGCUGUGUGCUUCAACACAAAAGCAACUAGAAAGAAGGACUCAAGUUAAUUUGCAGGUAGUACCUAUGCCUCUUUGAAGGGAAGACUAAUGAAAUGAGCAAUUAGCCAUACUACCAGCCUGGGCUGUCUCUUACCUUUUUCCACGAACGGCCCUGAACCCAUGGCAGGACAGGACCUGUUGCAAAUGGCAGCCAGUGCGGUGCUGUGUCCUGUCGCUGAGGGUGAAGAGCUGAUGGCAGAAUGGCAUCAGGAUAAUGCUGCUGUGCUGACUGCAACUCUGAGUGCACAGUCUGUGCUGCCACGCAGGGCUCCAAAGCUCCAAGAGUGCUAAAAAGAUGCUACAUCCUUCAUAUUUGCUUUCCAUUUCCUGGUGGGUGAGAAGCCUUUCAGAUGUGAGAUCUGCUCUUACGCCUUCAUUGAUGCAGACUCUCUGCAGCAGCACGUCCGAACAUGUGCUAGUGAGAGGCCCUACAAAUGUUGACUCUCUUCAUAUAGGUGCAUUCAGAAGAAGAGCUUGGACCUUCACAUACGCCGACAUCACACUGGUGAGGCAUUGGCUGUAGUUUUGCUGCUGUUCUUCCCCUGACAAACCACUUCUCUGAAAACACAUUAAGAAACAUCACCUGGGUUCAGGAACCUCAUUAACCAGUUCCCAGCCCACCUUUACCCUGAAAUCACUUCCUUUGGAACAGUAGGCUUUUCAGGCUUAAAGUUCCGCCAGAGCAUCCUGGCAAAUACAGAAGCUGUGGCAUUGUCAGACUUUUGUACCGAAAGCCAGGGGUUGUCUGGAAGAAGAGAAGAAACAGUCCUUAUGUGGCAAUUAGAAGCACUUAGGAUGGUCUUCCCCGAAAGCUUUGCAUGCGUUAUUGUACAGGUGGUAACGCCAGUGUGCUGAGAGGAGCGUGGAGAUUGGUGUUGCACAAAGGGUGGGCAUGUUUAUUUUUGUUCUGAUUACCUCUUGCUGAUAUAUUCCACUUACAAAUGAAAAGUUUGACAUUUCAGGGCACAAUCUGUUGAAAUGUACCAAAGCUGCCAGUGAACCCCACAGGUGCUUUCUGUGAUAUAUCUCCCAUUUUUAACACAGGUCUCUAUAUAAAAUGGUAAAUGAUUCAAGAAAAUCUACUGAUGGCAUAGCACUCAUAAUAUGGUAAAAAAAAUUUCAUUAAAUUUCUUCAUGGUUAUUUUUAUAACAGAAUGUGUCUAUUAUCAUAAACUAAUCCAAUGUUGAAGUAAAAAUAUAAACUAUUGAAAUAUGACAUCAAAUAAACAUGACUUGCAAAUUCA
Molecule: non-coding RNA, 3470 nt
Organism: Phalacrocorax carbo (great cormorant)
Lineage: Eukaryota; Metazoa; Chordata; Aves; Suliformes; Phalacrocoracidae
Source: RefSeq, a predicted model, not a curated record